Acanthochromis polyacanthus (spiny chromis) is the source of this 2267-nucleotide RNA transcript. It is a transcript of the gene named arginine vasopressin induced 1, with no coding region annotated. NCBI's taxonomy places the organism in Eukaryota, Metazoa, Chordata, Actinopteri, Pomacentridae. The transcript is spliced from 4 exons. The record is from RefSeq and is a predicted model, not a curated record.
CUGUAGCGCAUCAGCCAUCCGUGAUAUGAAUUAUACUGUGUUGCUUUCAUGCUUGUUUUAAUGAGUGCAGCCAGGUCCAAAUACACUGGAGAAUAUUAUGGAGGCAGCAUGCCAAUGGGGGUCUUUUCUGAUUCUGAGAAAAAGUUUAAAAGUCUCUCUUCUAUUGUGAUGAUUAGAAAAUGAUUGAGCCAACUGUGCAGGUAAAGUUAUUGAGCUGGUCAACUGGUGACAAAUUCUCACCUCUGAGUUAAUCCACACUCCUGUCAGGUGUGACUUUCAACAGUGGCUAUAAAAGACUACCUUGAAAUGCAGCUCUUUUCAAAUGAAACAAUGCCACAGUCAAAGUCAAGCACUUAAAUGUCCACAACUCAACCAUUUACCUCUAAGAAAUCAUUUCAGUCAGCAUGGUACGACAGACAAGCUGCCACAUGAUGUUGUGGAUGGAUGUCAAAUGUCUGUCAACUUCACCCAGACCUUCAGGAAAAUGAGACAACAUUCAACAAGCAGCAUGGACAACUUCAAUAACUCUAUAUGUCACACGUGUAAUUUGAUAACUUGUGAUCUCUGGUCUGUGACUUUACUCUCCAUCUGCCAGUUAUUACUUUCUAUAUAGUGUGUACUUGCUUGUCUCAUGAUGUCUAUUCUGUUGUAGAGGUGCUGAAUGAAGCACUAGCAUUUAUUCCCAUAUGUUGAAAGAAUGGGUACAAUUUAACAAAAUACUCAAAUGCUGCAUCUUUUUGUUCCAGAUAGGUUUUAUGAAAAUUAUGACUGCUUUGACACCAUGAAACAACCACAACCAUGACAUCAACAACUGCUAAAUACAGAGACUGCACAUUUAGACUGACCCUUGUUUUGAGCACCUUUGCACUAACAUCAUAAGCCUGAUUACACUUUGAUUACGGCUUCCUGGGCCACUGACGUGCCGGUCGGAAGUGGGUCGGCUCAGCAUUAGAGGGUGUGAAGGUUGUAGUCUGGAUGCUGGUUCAAUAAUCAGGCUGGCUGUCUGUAGCGCAUGGCUGGCUUUGUAUCAUUCAGACCUCAGAGCUGAUCCUACCUUCCAGUCAGUGCUCCUGCCUUCCCUUCACAUCAACCUCCUGUCCUCAUAUACCAACCCGGAGGCUCUCCAUCUGGAUAACAUGGCCGAGGCCCUGGCAUCCAGCUCCACCGAGGAUGGUCAGACUGCACAGUGGAAGUUUUCCAGCCCACGCAGCAGGAAGUCUGGCUGCUCCAACAUCUUCACAGGAGUGAACCUUCAUCAGCUGCAAAGGCUGUUCAGAACAGCAGGAGACAGAAACGCUGAACACCGGGCGAAGCUAGUGUGGCGAGGAAUGGAUGCAGACAUGGAGGGAGCAGAGGAGGAAAAGGAGGAGAGUGGGAUGGAGAGAGAGGAUGAAGCAGGGCUGGCUCAGGCGCUGGUGGGGCUCAGAGUCCGAGCGAGAAAUAAGGCAGGAAUCAGAGUGGAGGGACACCGAGAGCACAAGUGGCUCAGAGCAUCAGGAUAUCUCAGGAUUGAGGAGCCACUGACUGGUGAGGAAGUCGACCAAGUGCCAAGUUCAGGAGAAUUUCUGCUGCCAAGUGAGGAAGGCUUCUCAGAGAACCAAAAUCCCUUUAAACCCUCAUCAUGGAGGUUAGGCGUAGCGAGGAUGGAGGGUGCCAGAGACUCUGAACGCUACCUUCACCACAUCCUUCAUUAAAAACUGGAGUCUGGAAUAACACUCAGUGAUGGAAGAUGCAAGAAAACUGAAGUCAUGAAUUAAAAGACUGAUUUUGGAUGAAAAGACAUACUGCAUCAUCUGCUAUCAUGGGUUAUACAUGUUAGACCGCAGCACAAACGACUGAAAUCUGCUAAAACAGCUCCUUCAGCAGAAGGCUGAGACAUCCACCCUGCAAGAAGGAGCGCUAUCGUAGAUCAGUCAUUCCAUCUGUUUUAAGACGUUACAACAUCAGCAUCACUGGCUGAUGUGAACAUAAACUGGACUUUAUCAUAUCAACAUCUCAAACCAUGGAGAAAUCUCAACAAUUUUUUUGCACAGCUGGCAUCUUGCACUUUUAUAGUUGCAUUUAUUCCACAAGCCACUUUAUGUUGCUGUCGUUUGUAGUGUAGUAAUACUGUAUUUAUUCAUUUUUCAUUCUUGUAUAUAUUAUUGUCAUUAUUAUUACUAUACAUACACUAGGUACUUCUGUGAAAGAUGUUGCUGCUGUAACAAUGGAAAUGUCCCUUGGCAUGGGGAGUAAUAAAGGAUUAUCUUAUCCUAUCUUAUCUUAAA